This 754-nucleotide non-coding RNA is filed under the name Auplopus sp. SJW-2017. Lineage: Eukaryota; Metazoa; Arthropoda; Insecta; Hymenoptera; Pompilidae. The record is from RNAcentral.
GAAAUAUUUUAAUUUCACAUAUUUAAAUUAAAUAAAAUCUAAAAUAUUGUAAAUAAUUAUUAAAUAAAUAUUUCUAAAUGAAGAAUUAAUGAAUCAUAUAAAAUUAAUAAAUAAAUGAAAAUUUAUAUUAUAUAUAGAAAAUAAAUAUAAAUAAAUUUUAGUGCCAGCAAUUGCGGUUAUACUAAAUAUAUAAUUUAAUUUUAAUUAAUUAAGUAAAAUAAAUUUGAUUAUAAAAAGUAUUAUCUUAAUAAUGAAAUAUUUAAUAUUAUAUAAAAUAAUAAAAUUAAAUUAUUAAAUCUAAAUAAAUUUAAUUAAAAACCAGGAUUAGAUACCCUGUUAUUUAAAUUAAAUUAAAAAUUAAAUAAUUAAAUGUGUAAAACAUUAAAAUUAAAAAUUUUGGCUGUAUUUAAUUAAAUUAGAGGAACCUAUUAAUUAAUUUGAUAAUACACGAUAAGAACUACUUAAUUUUAACUUAUGUACUGCCGUUUAAAAAUUAAUUCAAAUAAAAGUAAUUUAAAUCUAAUUUUUAGAAAUAAUUCAGGUAAAAGUAUAGAAAUAAUUAAGAUCUUUAUGGGUUACAAUAUAUUAAAUUUUUGAGAUUUUAAUUUUAAAAUUAAAAUAAAAGAGGAUUUAAGAGUAAAUUUAAUAAAUUAAUUAAAUUGAAUUUAUUCCUUAAAUAAGUACAAAUUGCCCGUCAUUUCCAAAAUUAGGAAAAAGUCGUAACAAAGUAAGUGUACCGGAAGGUGUUCUUAAU